RNAcentral lists this ribosomal RNA (804 nucleotides) under uncultured organism. RNAcentral describes it as "bacterial SSU rRNA". It matches the Rfam family "Bacterial small subunit ribosomal RNA", at positions 25 to 819 of the family's 1533-position model. The record is from RNAcentral.
CAGGACGAACGCUGGCGGCGUGCUUAAUACAUGCAAGUCGAACGCGAAAGCACUCUUCGGAGUGCGAGUAGAGUGGCGAAUGGGUGAGUAACGCGUAGGUAAUGUACCCUCGAGAUUGAGAUAACCCCGGGAAACCGGGGCUAAUACCGAAUGAAGCAUGACCUGUGGGAUGGUGAUGUGAAAGUGGCGCAAGUCACGUUUGGGGAGCAGCCUGCGUCCUAUCAGCUUGUUGGCGGGGUAACGGCCCACCAAGGCGAAGACGGGUAGCUGAUCUGAGAGGAUGAUCAGCCACACUGGGACUGAGACACGGCCCAGACUCCUACGGGAGGCAGCAGUAGGGAAUAUUGCGCAAUGGGGGAAACCCUGACGCAGCGACGCCGCGUGAGCGAAGAAGGCUUUAUUAGUCGUAAAGCUCUGUAGGGAGGGAAGAACCGCAGGUGGUAACGCAUCUGUCUGACGGUACCUCCAAAGUAAGGACCGGCUAAAUACGUGCCAGCAGCCGCGGUAAUACGUAUGGUCCGAGCGUUGUCCGGAAUUACUGGGCAUAAAGGGUGCGUAGGCGGAUGUGUAAGUCAGGUGUGAAAGCCCUCGGCUCAACCGGGGAAUUGCGCUUGAAACUGCACGUCUAGAGCAUGUCAGAGGCAGGCGGAAUUCCCGGAGUAGCAGUGAAAUGCGUAGAUAUCGGGAAGAACACCGGUGGCGAAGGCGGCCUGCUGGGACAGUGCUGACGCUGAGACACGAAAGCGUGGGGAGCGAACGGGAUUAGAUACCCCGGUAGUCCACGCCGUAAACGAUGGAUACUAG